RNAcentral lists this ribosomal RNA (524 nucleotides) under uncultured bacterium. Its description in RNAcentral is "partial 16S ribosomal RNA". It matches the Rfam family "Bacterial small subunit ribosomal RNA", at positions 28 to 523 of the family's 1533-position model. The record is from RNAcentral.
GACGAACGCUGGCGGCGUGCCUAAUACAUGCAAGUCGAGCGCAGGAAAUCGACGGAACCCUUCGGGGGGAAGUCGACGGAAUGAGCGGCGGACGGGUGAGUAACACGUAAAGAACCUGCCCUCAGGUCUGGGAUAACCACGAGAAAUCGGGGCUAAUACCGGAUGGGUCAUCGGACCGCAUGGUCCGAGGAUGAAAGGCGCUUCGGCGUCGCCUGGGGAUGGCUUUGCGGUGCAUUAGCUAGUUGGUGGGGUAAUGGCCCACCAAGGCGACGAUGCAUAGCCGACCUGAGAGGGUGAUCGGCCACACUGGGACUGAGACACGGCCCAGACUCCUACGGGAGGCAGCAGUAGGGAAUCUUCCACAAUGGACGAAAGUCUGAUGGAGCAACGCCGCGUGAACGAUGAAGGCCUUCGGGUCUUAAAGUUCUGUUGUAAGGGAAGAACAAGUGCCGCAGGCAAUGGCGGUACCUUGACGGUACCUUGCGAGAAAGCCACGGCUAACUACGUGCCAGCCGCCGCCGUAA